AUGUCAAGGUGGAAAGACCCUGCUAGAAAGAAGAUACCACAGAAAGUUCUGAGGCAUUUUCCAUUGGUGCCUAGGCUGAAGAGGAUGUUUCUUUCCAAAAAAGCAUCAGAAGAAGCACAGUGGCACAAGCUAAAGAGGCAACCCAGUGAGAAGGAAAUGAGCCAUCCAGCUAACGGUGAUGCGUGGCAAGAUUUUGAUGAAAAAUAUCCAAAAUUUGCAGAAGAUGCCAGAAACAUGAGGCUUGGCAUUGCCACUGAUGGGUUCAAUCCUUUCGGAAACUUUAACACAACCUAUAGUAUGUGGCCUGUAUUUGUUGUGCCAUACAACCUUCCACCUUGGGCAUGCAUGGAUCAGUCAAAUUUCAUGAUGGCUCUGUUAAUUCCAGGUCCUAAAUCACCUGGCAAGCACUUUGAUGUCUUCCUACAGCCACUUGUUGAAGAUUUACUUGAGCUUUGGAAGGGUGUGCGUACAUAUGAUGCUCGUGAAGGAAAAAUGUUUGAUCUUCAUGCUGCAGUUCUAUGGUGCAUUCAUGAUUACCCAGCUCUGAGCACUCUUUCAGGGCGUACCACAAGAGGCUAUGCUGCAUGUAUUCAUUGUGACAAACACCCUCUUUCCUACGGCCUAAGGCACAAAAUUGGGUAUAUUGGGCAUUAUCGUUUCCUUCCAAAGGGACAUCGUUUGCGAAGAAACAAUGAAUUUGUUGGUCUUCAUGAAUGCAAUGAUGAGCCAGGUAAAUUCUCAAAGGAAGAGCUACAAGCAGAAUUGGAGAAGGUUAGACCUGGGUGA
This 786-nucleotide ribosomal RNA is filed under the name Triticum aestivum (bread wheat). RNAcentral's name for it is "partial small subunit ribosomal RNA". The record is from RNAcentral. Lineage: Eukaryota; Viridiplantae; Streptophyta; Magnoliopsida; Poales; Poaceae.